GUCAUGACCUCUCUCUGACCUUCAGCUGCAACAGAAGCAGCUGCACUCAGCUGGGAGACAUCCUCAUCACUCCCACCCUGGUAGUGUUUGCAAGAGAUGGAUACAUUGUCUGUAACCAUAGCAACCAAGUCAGCUGGCACAACGUCACUCUGGAAAUGUCAUCACUCUGUGAAUUUGCCAGAGAGGAACACUCUACUCUCUGGAUGUCGUUGACUGUUGGAUUGAUGUCUGCUGGGAUUGUUGCUGCUGCCCUUGUAGUGAUGAGUGCCUGUCUAAACAGCAACCUAGAGAGCACAGGGGCAGAUGCAUCUCUUUGGCAUUCCACUGUCCAGUUUUCACAUUUAACCGAGGUGCUGCAGAGAGCAGCAGGGGGCAGCAGAGAGCAGGAUGAAAGAGCCAAAUUACUGAGUUAUCUAACGCAUGAACCGCAACCAUUUCAAGCCGUCAUCUACAGCUUUCUUCCGCCUCCUAGGCCAGAGUCUGAUGUCCACUAAGCCUCCUUUGGAUCUCAGAUCUCCACCCCACGUCAUUUGUCCCUUCCAGUCAGCUUUUGAUGAAUAUGCAUCAAUACUCAGCCAGCCCUGUCAGGGAUGACCUUUGUCUCCUGGACAACUGUCAAGUCAGCAGUCUUCCUCAUGAUUAGAUAGAUAGAUCGAUAGAUACUUUAUUGAUAGCUAGGGGAAAUUCAAAAUUGUGGUUGUGUGUAAGACUAAGAGAGGCAUAUUUAUGCAUAGAUUAAAGCAGAAAAAUGCUUUAAACAUUUUCAUUUAUAUCUAA
Molecule: long non-coding RNA, 777 nt
Organism: Alosa sapidissima (American shad)
Lineage: Eukaryota; Metazoa; Chordata; Actinopteri; Clupeiformes; Clupeidae
Exons: 5
Source: RefSeq, a predicted model, not a curated record